GAGUCCGCCGUUGGUGUGUGAAUGUGGGUAUGAAUGGUUCUAAGUUCCUCUGGAUAAAAGUGUCUGCUAAAUACACUAUUGUAAAUGUAAAUACAAAUGUAAAGGUAAAUGUUUCCCUAAUAUGAGCUCAUUCUUAAGGUAAACGAUGCUGCUGCUGCCGCGGGAAGACGGAGGCGGGGCUUGUUGAUUACGCCAGUAUAAAACAUGCACACAGGCCACGCCCCUCUGCCCAGCAAGGACCAGGAUUGGUCAAAGAAAACAUUCCUCGAGGCAUCAUAUACGCAGCCGUGAGGUUACAGAGCUUGCCCCCGAGGCAGUGAUGGACGGAUCCACUGGCGAAUAAGGAUUCAGUAAAUCGUUAGAUUCUAUUUGUAUUUUUUUUUUUUUUUUUUUAUGAUUUUCAACUUCAAUUCAACUGUUACAAUAAAUACAUAUAAAGAGGUAA
Molecule: long non-coding RNA, 445 nt
Organism: Gadus morhua (Atlantic cod)
Lineage: Eukaryota; Metazoa; Chordata; Actinopteri; Gadiformes; Gadidae
Exons: 2
Source: RefSeq, a predicted model, not a curated record